Molecule: long non-coding RNA, 972 nt
Organism: Megalobrama amblycephala (Wuchang bream)
Lineage: Eukaryota; Metazoa; Chordata; Actinopteri; Cypriniformes; Xenocyprididae
Exons: 2
Source: RefSeq, a predicted model, not a curated record
AUAAAGGAUAUAAUAUUAUAGACAUCGACUUGAAGAAUGAAUGUAAUGUAAUAUACCAGACACAGGUCCUUCUUGCCCCGCUCUGUGCGGGCCUCGAACCUGGCGUGGGAGUCGGAUGCUCUAACAAGGAAGCUAAAUGCUGCAACCUCUAACAUCAGUCCCUAGAGCAUCUCUUGAGAUCAGAGGAGUGAGGUUUUACUUGCACAGCAACUACUAGCUGGCCUCCAUUACUCAUGAUACAGGCAGUUGUAAAAACCUAAGAUAUUGAAGAAACUCAUCAGGAAUAAAGAGGAGAGCAAUUUUCUUCAAACAUUAGAAGAAGUGAAUAUAAGUAAGAGCGGUGCAAGCACAGAAAUGAGUUACUGUGCAAAAUCACUAAGAAAAAAAUGAAUAAAAUUCUGCAAUAGGAUAGACAGAAAAAAACAUGCAUGUCUGUUUCUUUUGAUUAUGCUGAGUAGGUAACCAGAAUAUGAAUAUUAAUCAGAAAAUAAGCAUGUAAACAUGGACAGAGAAACCUAUUGUAAAAUGUUCUUGAGUUUACCAUCGAGCAAUACUUCUUUGCUGUGCAUCAUGGCAAAGUUUCAGCACUGUAAUUGUUCUCUAGUGGUGCACUUAUGUAAGCGUGUGGUUAUGCAGUUUUGCAAUGCUAAUUUAAAAUGUCUUUAUGUUACGGAACCGUUGCUCUGUAGGUCUGUGCCGAAGCGACUGUUAAAAUGGAGUUACACACAGUGCGCAGAUGAAGCAAGCAUGGCGAUUGCUCAAAGACUCUGUGUAGAAGCGUUUGGAUCGUUGGUAUAAAAGAGAUUGUCAAAGUCUGAUUGGCUGCUGAGAAGAGGGCGGUUACUCAUCUGGUGCAGAAAGAGAUGUUCACUUUGAACCCUGUUAGUUCAGGGGUCUCUUGUGAGCUUACACAACAGGCUUGAUGUCCACUGGGUCCUACUGGAGAUGACCAACACGAACACAUUUUCCCAA